Crotalus tigris (Tiger rattlesnake) is the source of this 551-nucleotide long non-coding RNA. RefSeq lists it as uncharacterized. The record is from RefSeq and is a predicted model, not a curated record. The transcript has 3 exons. Lineage: Eukaryota; Metazoa; Chordata; Lepidosauria; Squamata; Viperidae.
UUUAGGGGGUCCAGCCUGCCCUCACCCGUGGCCCUUCCAGCGCCGAGCUCCGCCCAACACGCCCCUCAUAAGGCGCGGGGCAUGAAGGCUCAGACCUUGCUCUUUAUGUGGCGCAGAACGAGCGUGCAGGACCAACACUUUUGAUGGCUCUAUAAUCUCAUCCAUAGAAUUUGAUUUGGAAGAUCUGUGAGGACUUGAAUAUUUCACCAUAUUGGAAACGUGACUAUCUCUAUUCAUUGAUGGGUAUUUUUCAUUCUUUUUAUGGAAUGCUCGGCUUCAACUAUAAGGGUUGUUUCAGAAGGUAUGUAACACUGUUCAGAGUUGGUUCACUAAAGCAACAUAUGUAUUCUUUAAAUAGGUAAGAUAUUUUGUUUAAAAAUUUACUAUGCAUGGUAAUUUAUAUAGGAAAAAUUACAAUCAUAAUUUAUAUCUUCUGAUCACAAUAGAAUAGAAUUUAUCAUUGGAAAAUGAACAUUACAAGUAUGAUUUUUCAUGUAUAAAAUAUAUGAAUAUUUGUGAUUACUAAUAGCAUAUUUUUCUUAAUAUGUAAU